UAAACAAAUGAUCAUUUACAUAGUCCAAAAAAUUCACAUCUAAAUAUACUAGACAUAAAAACAAAAGAAACUAAAUUCAAACGGUAACUACAUCUAACAUUCACUCGAUCCUGCCCCUGCCUAGCAAAUCAGUCUCGGUAACUAGAGAAGUAACCAUACACAAUAUUAGUCAGAUUAAUCAUACAAAUAAAUAUAUACAC
Molecule: long non-coding RNA, 200 nt
Filed under: Ananas comosus (pineapple)
Lineage: Eukaryota; Viridiplantae; Streptophyta; Magnoliopsida; Poales; Bromeliaceae
Description: long non-coding RNA (ACOM_LNC035377)
Source: RNAcentral